AUGGACGUUGCCGUUUGGGGUCUGAGUGUCCCCAUCCCUUUGGGCGUCACUGUUUGGGGUCUGCGUGUCCCCAGCUCCCUGGGCAUCCUCGUUUGGGGUCUGCAUGUUCCCAUCCCCCUGCACAUCACUGUUUGGGGUCUGCGUGUCCCCAUACCCCUGGGCAUCCUCGUUUGGGGUCUGCAUGUUCCCAUCCCCUUGGGCAUCACCGUUUGGGGUCUGCAUGUCCUCAUCCCCCUGGGUGUCACUGCCUGUAGGGCUUCAUGUCCACAUCCCCCUGGGCAUCCCUGUUUGAGGGCUGCGUGUCCCAAUCCCCUUGGGCAUCACCGUUUGGGGUCUGUAUGUCCCCGUCCCCCUGGGCAUUAUUGUUUGGGGUCUGCAUGUCCCCAUCCCCCUUGGGCAUCAUCAUUUGGGGUCUGUGUGUCCCUGUCCCCCUGGGCAUUGCUAUUUGGGGUCUGCAUAUCCCUGUCCCCCUGGGUGUCACUGCCCUUAGGGCUUCAUGUCCACGUCCUCCUGGGCAUCGCCAUUUGGGGUCUACAUGCCCUGUCCCCCCCUGCACAUCACUGUUUGGGGUCUGUGGGUCCCCAUCUCCCUGGACAUCACUGUUUGGGGUCUGCAUGUCCUCAUCCCCCUGGGUGUCACUGCCCAUAUGUCCUCAUGUCCCUGGGCAUCACCAUUUGGGGUCUGCUUGUCCCUGUCCCUCUGGGCAUUGCUAUUUGGGGUCUGCAUGUUCCCAUCCCCUUUUACAUCACUGUUUGGGGACUGCAUGUCCCCAUCUCCCUGCACAUCAUCGUUUGGGGUCUGCGUGUCCCUGUCCCUCUGGGCAUUGCUAUUUGGGGUCUGCACGUCCCUGUCCCCCCGUACAUCACCGUUUGGGGUCUGCGUGUCCCCCUCAGGAGGGGCAGCGCCGGGAGCACCGUGCGGCCCCGCAGCCCUGGAGCUCUGCAGGCGUCGUUUUUGGGAUGAAAACAGGAAAACGUCGUGCCAACAGCAAUAAACAGCACGGCGGGACCGAGCCGGGGCA
Molecule: long non-coding RNA, 1021 nt
Filed under: Anser cygnoides (Swan goose)
Lineage: Eukaryota; Metazoa; Chordata; Aves; Anseriformes; Anatidae
Description: lncRNA (ENSACDG00005003481.1)
Source: RNAcentral